GACGAACGCUGGCGGCGUGCCUAACACAUGCAAGUCGAACGAAGCAUAGCAAUAUGCUUAGUGGCGGACGGGUGAGUAACGCGUGAACAAUCUGCCCUGUACAAAGGAAUAGCCUCGGGAAACCGGGAUUAAAACCGUAUGACACUUUAGUAUCGCAUGAUAAGAAAGUCAAAUCGAAUAGAGGUAUGGGAUGAGUUCGCGUCUGAUUAGCUGGUUGGCGGGGUAACGCCCACCAAGGCGACGAUCAGUAGCCGGCCUGAGAGGGUGAACGGCCACACUGGAACUGAGACACGGUCCAGACUCCUACGGGAGGCAGCAGUGGGGAAUAUUGCACAAUGGAGGGAACUCUGAUGCAGCGACGCCGCGUGAGUGAAGAAGGUCUUCGGAUCGUAAAACUCUGUCCUUGGUGAAGAAAAGGACGGUAGCCAAGGAGGAAGCCCCGGUAACUACGUG
RNAcentral lists this ribosomal RNA (453 nucleotides) under uncultured bacterium. RNAcentral describes it as "bacterial SSU rRNA". It matches the Rfam family "Bacterial small subunit ribosomal RNA", at positions 28 to 507 of the family's 1533-position model. The record is from RNAcentral.